Non-coding RNA from Paramisgurnus dabryanus, 703 nucleotides. Lineage: Eukaryota; Metazoa; Chordata; Actinopteri; Cypriniformes; Cobitidae. The record is from RefSeq and is a predicted model, not a curated record.
GCGAUUCUCAUGCGUGUUUCAUCAGUAAAGCCGGUUCCGUGAUUAGAAGUAAAUCGCCAUCAGCUGCUUUCAGAUGGAGCGGCAUUUAUUACACAGACCCGUAGUUCACAGAGAACCCUACUCUCCUACGUAUACACACACACUCACUCACUCACUCUCUCUCACUCUCCCCCCUCUCUCUGUUUGUCCCUCUUUCAAUUUGUUUUGCCUAUUUCUCUUUGCAUUCUUUCUUUUCUUCAGUAUGGCAUCUUCAGGUUUUGACCAGUUAUGCCAGGAAGCUGCAACUAUUUCAAAGCAUCUUGACAUGAAAGCUGACAAAGCUGAACUUGGAGCAGCUACCAGAGAGGCUGAAGAAAUUCUACAAAUGUUCAAUCCUCCACUGCUGAAAAAGAUGACCAAACGAGCGAUUUCCUGGACUCAACAGACACAGUGAACUUUGCACUGCAUUUCAAAGCCAGCUCCUCAGCCGCAACACCGAGAACCAGAGUUGAGGUCAAUGUACUGCUGAGAAAAGUGCAAGAUCUGUUUAACCAAAAUUAUAAGGAUGCCGGAGGUACUGGAAGGCUCCCCUGGUAAAUCAAGGCAUGACAGUUAAAGUUGCAGGACUGCCCAACAGCCUUACUUUCAAAAAGCCAUCCUAUUGUGGAAGGAAGCAGUUGGAGGCCAUUUUGCAAGCGGCUGAGGAGAUUUCAUUUGAAAUCAG